UCUUCCGUGGGCGGCGGCUUCGCGGGCUUGGAGUUCGCGCGGCCGCAGGAGUCGGAGCCGCGGGCCUCGGACCUGGGGGCCCCCCGGACGUGGACGGGGGCGGCGGCGGGGCCCCGGACUCCGUCGGCGCACAUCCCCGUCCCAGCGCAGAGAGCCACCCCAGGAAAAGCCCGGCUGGACGAGGUCAUGGCUGCCGCUGCCCUUACAAGCCUGUCCACCAGCCCUCUCCUUCUGGGGGCCCCAGUUGCAGCCUUCAGCCCAGAGCCCGGCCCAGGUCAUGUUCCAGUGUCUGUGGAAGAACUGCGGGAAGGUGCUGAGCACGGCGUCGGCGAUGCAGAGACACAUCCGCCUGGUGCACCUGGAGGCAGGCAGAGCCUGAGCAGAGUGACGGUGAGGAGGACUUCUACUACACAGAGCUGGAUGUUGGUGUGGACACGCUGACCGACGGGCUGUCCAGCCUGACUCCAGUGUCCCCCACGGCCUCCAUGCCGCCUGCCUUCCCCCGCCUGGAGCUGC
Molecule: small RNA, 516 nt
Filed under: Pan troglodytes (chimpanzee)
Lineage: Eukaryota; Metazoa; Chordata; Mammalia; Primates; Hominidae
Description: processed transcript
Source: RNAcentral